RNAcentral lists this transfer RNA (111 nucleotides) under Trichosporon asahii var. asahii CBS 8904. It matches the Rfam family "tRNA". Rfam says of the family: Transfer RNA (tRNA) molecules are approximately 80 nucleotides in length. Their secondary structure includes four short double-helical elements and three loops (D, anti-codon, and T loops). The record is from Rfam by way of RNAcentral. Lineage: Eukaryota; Fungi; Basidiomycota; Tremellomycetes; Trichosporonales; Trichosporonaceae.
GGGCAUGUAGCUCAGUUGGUAGAGCGCGUCAUUAGCAUCUCCUCACGAGUUCUCAACUCGAAGGGGUCAGCAUACUUGACGAGGUCUUUGGUUCGAUUCCUAACCUGUCCA